GUCAGAUGUAGAGUGAUCACUUUAGCCCACAUGUGAUAGGGUGUUUUUGUCUUUUAUUGUUUUCCGGUGUGAGUACAUUCGAGAGCGCAGUGAUUGUCUGGUUUCACCCAUACAGUUGUUAUUGGAUCAUUUAGUGCACUGGACGAGGUACACCACAUAUUGUGAUAGACAUGUGUAGGACCUGUGGAUCUUGAAAGGUGUGUUUAAGGGGGAGAGGGUGGUGA
Chelonia mydas (Green sea turtle) is the source of this 224-nucleotide long non-coding RNA. RefSeq lists it as uncharacterized. The record is from RefSeq and is a predicted model, not a curated record. The transcript is spliced from 4 exons. Lineage: Eukaryota; Metazoa; Chordata; Testudines; Cheloniidae.